Molecule: long non-coding RNA, 514 nt
Filed under: Androctonus crassicauda
Lineage: Eukaryota; Metazoa; Arthropoda; Arachnida; Scorpiones; Buthidae
Source: RNAcentral
AAAUACAAUUGCAUGUAAACAGUGGCGCCGAGACGGGGAAGAAGAGGAGACAAAUUCCCUGGGCCUAUAGAAGAUUGAAGGGCCCGGGCCGCUUCCUAACAAUAAGAAUUUUUUGUAUUUUUUUUUUUUUUUAAAUUAAGUAACUGCACAUUACAAGAUAUAUAGAAUUAAAAUUGUAUUAUAAAAAUCUAAGAGAAGAAACUGACAGACCGACAGGGCCCACAACAUAUUUUGUAAAGGAAUGAGAUGUAUACAGUGGAAUACGGUUAUAGUGAAACGAUUAAAACCGGAAAAUGUUGAACAACCUACGUGUAAAAUAUAUGUUAUAUGUAUGAUUUUUAAGAUCUUACAGAGGAAAAAAUAUAUAUAUUUAUAUAUAGGGGCUCCAAAGCCUUGUUCGUACCGGAGCCCAGGAUUUCUCUCGGCGCCACUGCAUAUGAACAUAAAAAAGCCAAGUUAGAUUUAAAGAAAAUAACUUUUAUUAAUUGUAAAUUAUCAAAAAUUUUUCCAGUUA